CGUAGGGGCAAGCGUUGUCCGGAAUUAUUGGGCGUAAAGCGCGCGCAGGCGGCCUGUUAAGUCUGGUGUGAAAGACCACGGCUCAACCGAGGGGUGGCAUCAGAAACUGGCGGGCUUGAGUGCAGGAGAGGAGAGUGGAAUUCCCGGUGUAGCGGUGGAAUGCGUAGAGAUCGGGAGGAACACCAGUGGCGAAGGCGACUCUCUGGCCUGUAACUGACGCUGAGGCGCGAAAGCGUGGGGGAGCGAACAGGAUU
This 254-nucleotide ribosomal RNA is filed under the name uncultured bacterium. Its description in RNAcentral is "partial 16S ribosomal RNA". It matches the Rfam family "Bacterial small subunit ribosomal RNA", at positions 526 to 779 of the family's 1533-position model. The record is from RNAcentral.